UGGGGAAUAUUGGGCAAUGGGCGCAAGCCUGACCCAGCAACGCCGCGUGAGGGAAGAAGGCCUUCGGGUUGUAAACCUAUGUCCUUAGGGACGAAAAAAAUGACGGUACUUAAGGAGGAAGCUCCGGCUAACUACGUGACAGCAGCCGCGGUAAUACGUAGGGAGCAAGCGUUGUCCGGAAUUACUGGGCGUAAAGCGCGCGUAGGCGGUCGUGCAAGUCGGAUGUGAAAGCUCUCGGCUCAACCGAGGAACUGCGUCCGAUACUGCUCGACUUGAGUCCGGUAGGGGAUGGCAGAAUUCCCGGUGUAGCGGUGGAAUGCGUAGAUAUCGGGAGGAAUACCGAUGGCGAAGGCGGCCAUCUGGGCCGGUACUGACGCUGAGGCGCGAAAGCUAGGGGAGCAAACA
Molecule: ribosomal RNA, 405 nt
Filed under: uncultured prokaryote
Description: bacterial SSU rRNA
Rfam family: Bacterial small subunit ribosomal RNA
Source: RNAcentral